This 254-nucleotide ribosomal RNA is filed under the name uncultured bacterium. RNAcentral describes it as "partial 16S ribosomal RNA". It matches the Rfam family "Bacterial small subunit ribosomal RNA", at positions 524 to 776 of the family's 1533-position model. The record is from RNAcentral.
UACGAAGGGGGCUAGCGUUUGUUCGGAAUUACUGGGCGUAAAGCGCGCGCAGGCGGCCUUUCAAGUCAGGGGUGAAAGCCCGGAGCUCAACUCCGGAAUUGCCUUUGAAACUGUCAGGCUCGAGUACGGGAGAGGUGAGUGGAAUUCCCAGUGUAGAGGUGAAAUUCGUAGAUAUUGGGAAGAACACCGGUGGCGAAGGCGGCUCACUGGCCCGUUUCUGACGCUCAGGCGCGACAGCGUGGGGAUCAAACAGG